This 1057-nucleotide long non-coding RNA is filed under the name Fragaria vesca (wild strawberry). RNAcentral's name for it is "long non-coding RNA (FVES_LNC001276)". Lineage: Eukaryota; Viridiplantae; Streptophyta; Magnoliopsida; Rosales; Rosaceae. The record is from RNAcentral.
AAUUGUUCUUGAGAUUGAAUCAAUAAUGGAAGGUGAAAGUUGCAAAGUCUACAUUUAACAUAAGACACGUCUACUAUUUUCAUUAGAAACGUCUACCAUUAACAUAAGAGAAAUCAAAGAAAAGUAGAUUUUCUGGAAAAUUAAAUUGUUCUUGAGAUUGAAGCAAAUUAACUAAAGGUAAAAAUGCAAAGUCUACAUGUAACAUAAGACACAACUACUUUUUUCAUAAGUAAAUGUCUACCAUUAACAUAAGAGAAAUCAAAGAAAAGUAGACUUUCUGGAAAUCUAAAUUGUUCUUGAGAUUGAACCAACCCAAGGUAAAAGAUGCAAAGUCUACAUUUAACAUAAGACACAACUACUUUUUUCAUAAGAAAUGUCUACCAUUAACAUAAGAGAAAUCAAAGAAAAGUAGACUUUCUGGAAAUCUAAAUUGUUCUUGAGAUUGAAUCAAUAAUAGAAGAUGAAAGUUGCAAAGUCUACAUUUAUAACAUAACACACGUCUACUAUUUUCAUUAGAAACAUCUACUAUUAACAUAAGAGAAAUCAAAGAAAAGUAGAUUUUCUAGAAAAUUAAAUUGUUCUUGAGAUUGAAGCAAAUUAACCAAGGUAAAAAAUGCAAAGUCUACAUUUAACAUAAGACACAACAACUUUUUUCAUAAGAAAUGGCUACCAUUAACAUAAGAGAAAUCAAAGAAAAGUAGAUUUUCUGGAAAUCUAAAUUGUUCUUGAGAUUGAAGCAACCCAAGGUAAAAGAUACAAAAUCUACAUUUAACAUAAGACACCUCUACUAUUUUCAUUAGAAAUGUCUACCAUUAACAUAAGAGAAAUCAAAGAAAAGUAGACUUUCUGGAAAUCUAAAUUGUUCUUGAGAUUGAACCAACCCAAGGUAAAAGAUGCAAAGUCUACAUUUAACAUAAGACACAACUACUUUUUUCAUAAGAAAUGUCUACCAUUAACAUAAGAGAAAUCAAAGAAAAGUAGAUUUUCUGGAAAAUUAAAUUGUUCUUGAGAUUGAAGUAAAUUAACCAAGGUAAAAAAUGCAAAGUCUACAUGUAAC